GCUGAAAUUUUUUAUAAAACAGCUCCUUUUCAAUUGUUGAAAUUGUAAAUUUAACAGCGAUUAUAGUACCCUAAAAAUUCCUGUACUAACCCUAUAACCCAAUAAUGGAGUGGAGGUAUCAAAGGAAGAAUUCGAUCUAGAUGAUUGGAAUGCAAUUAAAGUCCUCCAAAGCAGAAGCAGAGUUUAAAUGCAUCAUGACAGCAUGACCCUGACAUCCAACAUGCAUUAAGGAAUGUACCCGUAAUUAUAGUAAGUUUCAUACUCUUUCUUUAUUGUGAACUCUUAGUGAGAUGGUGUUGGGUUCCAGUGUUUGCAAUGCGUGCAUAGUUGGCUUUGUGGUUCCCCAUUGUAAAUACAUGGCAUCCUUUCAUGUGUGGUGUGUACACUGAUGUGACCGUGUUUGGUGGUGUGCAGUAAUCAAUGAUAAUUGUAUUGUUUUUGGAUGAGUUUCGGAGCUGUCAGCUGAGUGUAUAUAUAGAGUUGGUGAAUAGCUACUCUAUACAAUGGAUACUAACAGGAAAGUACCCUUUGCUAUUAUGUCUGUUCUGAGGGAGUUGCUACGAGUAUCUAAAGUUACAAAGAGUAGAGAGGUUACAAGCACGACUAAAUAUGAUGAUCUUCAUCACAUUAAUUUUAUGAUGAUAUUGAUCCCUCAGUGUUUAGUAUCAGUGGUGAUAUAGUAUCAGUGGUGAUGAGAAAAAGGAUCCAUGGACCACCAGUCUCCACGAGUUAAUGGUCAAGCAUGGAGUCACUGACGAGCAGUUGGAUCUAGGGAUUGAACAAGAUGACCUUUCUCUAGUAGCUAUGCACUUUGAUGAUGUGGAGCUCUACUUCCACCCACUGAAGCUGAAUGGAAACAAACAAGCUGAUGCGAGGACUUGCGCUCAUGUUAGUAAAAGCAAUCAAGUGGCAGUGAUAAACUGUUUGUCAAAUCUGGAGAGGUCACGAACCCAGCGAAGCAACCUUUAGAGCGCUGAUUAGGAUCUUAUUUGAUCUAAGGAAGGAAGAAAUUGCUACUAAGAUCUGUCAGUACUUUAAUGAAAAAAGGUAUAACAAUGACAGUACAUGUGUUCAUUCUUGACGAACGUAUUCCACUAAAUGUACUUGUUGCAUGCAGUGUAUACAUUUCAAGUACAGUGUACGUCUAUAAUUAUACCCAGACUAAUUUAUGUACUACAUACUUGAGUCACUAUAUAGGAUACCCAAGAAAUAUACAUCCCUCAGCUCGUUUUGAUCUGUAUUAGUUGUAGUGACUGAACAGCUGCAUCUUUCACCAUCUUCCGAAGUGCAACAGUAUAUAGCAGUAGCAGAGGUCUGUGUACCCACUACAAAUUGAGUGCCUCUGAGCACUUAAUUUCCAAAUAAUUCCCAGGCCCCCUAGCUAGUUGCCGGCUUGUAAAAACACUGUUUGAGCUGAAUUAUGGAUCACAACAAAAUAAUGCAGUGGCAGAUCUAGGCAGGUUCCAUGCAUGGGUUCCAUGAACCCCCCUUUUUCACACAAGAACACACGUCACUGGAGAUCAACUUACUAUAGCUAGCACUUAACUUGAAUGAUCGGGAUCUGUAGAUACUAGGCUGAUUUCAUGCAAUUGAUGUGCAUGCAUGCUCAUUGCUUAGGAAAAGUGAUGACCUUUUUUUGUAAAAUUACUGUUUUGGAACCUCCCUCUCAACACUCCUGGA
This is a long non-coding RNA of Halichondria panicea, 1680 nucleotides long. RefSeq lists it as uncharacterized. The transcript has 4 exons. The record is from RefSeq and is a predicted model, not a curated record. NCBI's taxonomy places the organism in Eukaryota, Metazoa, Porifera, Demospongiae, Suberitida, Halichondriidae.